RNAcentral lists this ribosomal RNA (245 nucleotides) under uncultured bacterium. Its description in RNAcentral is "partial 16S ribosomal RNA". It matches the Rfam family "Bacterial small subunit ribosomal RNA", at positions 524 to 766 of the family's 1533-position model. The record is from RNAcentral.
UACGUAGGGUGCGAGCGUUAAUCGGAAUUACUGGGCGUAAAGCGUGCGCAGGCGGUUCGUUAUGUCCGUUGUGAAAGCCCCGGGCUCAACCUGGGAAUGGCAAUGGAAACUGGCGGGCUAGAGUGUGGCAGAGGGGGGUGGGAAGUUCCGCGUGUAGCAGUGAAAUGCGUAGAGAUGCGGAGGAACACCGAUGGCGAAGGCGGCUCACUGGUCCGGAACUGACGCUGAGGUGCGAAAGCGGUGGG